RNAcentral lists this ribosomal RNA (274 nucleotides) under uncultured bacterium. RNAcentral's name for it is "partial 16S ribosomal RNA". It matches the Rfam family "Bacterial small subunit ribosomal RNA", at positions 524 to 796 of the family's 1533-position model. The record is from RNAcentral.
CACGUAGGGGGCGAGCGUUGUCCGGAAUCAUUGGGCGUAAAGAGCUCGUAGGCGGCUCAGUAAGUCGGGUGUGAAACCCCCAGGCUCAACCUGGGGACGCCACCCGAUACUGCUGUGGCUAGAGUCCAGUAGGGGAGUGUGGAAUUCCCGGUGUAGCGGUGAAAUGCGCAGAUAUCGGGAGGAACACCAGCGGCGAAGGCGGCACUCUGGGCUGGAACUGACGCUGAGGAGCGAAAGCGUGGGUAGCAAACAGGAUUAGAAACCCCCGUAGUCC